Molecule: ribosomal RNA, 379 nt
Filed under: uncultured bacterium
Lineage: Bacteria
Description: bacterial SSU rRNA
Rfam family: Bacterial small subunit ribosomal RNA
Source: RNAcentral
UAAGACAGAGGGUGCGAACGUUGUUCGGAAUUACUGGGCGUAAAGCGCGUGUAGGCGGUGAGGCAAGUCGGAUGUGAAAGCCCAGGGCUCAACCCUGGAAGUGCACUCGAUACUGCCUUGCUGGAGUCCCGGAGAGGAUGGUGGAACUCUCGGUGUAGAGGUGAAAUUCGUAGAUAUCGAGAAGAACACCGGUGGCGAAGGCGGCCAUCUGGACGGUGACUGACGCUGAGACGCGAAAGCGUGGGGAGCAAACAGGAUUAGAUACCCUGGUAGUCCACGCCGUAAACGAUGGGUGCUAGGUGUCAUGGGUAUUGACCCCUAUGGUGCCGAAGCUAACGCAUUAAGCACCCCGCCUGGGAAGUACGGCCGCAAGGCUAAA